AUGCCCUCCAAUGAAUGGACAAUGCAAGCGAUGGCCCCGUGACGUGGCCUGGUGGCCAGCAGCUGUUGGGAAACACCACCACGAGGAUCAUUCCCUAUGAGACGAAGAGACAUGCUACCAUACAACAGGGGGAAACCGGGGGCGAAGGGAGCCCGCUCCGAGCACAGACGGAAGUGAAGAGGACGGCUUCGUGGGGAAGGGGGUAUUUCCACCGUCUCUGCAGGAGGGGCUGGCUGGCGCACUGACAGGUGCUCUGCAAACCCUUGCUGAGCUUUUACUGUGUGGUUCGUAACAAAGACGGACAUAAAUCCUGCUCCUUGCCUUUAUGCCUUCCACCCCACGAUCGCACACCCCCCAAAAUGAAUUCUACAUUUACGAUCCUAUCAGAGGCCACCAAUGGUUCACGUCCCAAGGUCAACAAUAGAAGGAGGAAGAGGCAGUAAAACUUAACGGGGCCCCAAUAUACUCACUUUCUGGGUGGUCACAGGUAUGUUGCUUAAACUGGAUAUCAGUUUUUAAUGGGCAUCCUAAGCCCUCAAAAUCUGGGGUUCGAGUUCAUGUCAGAACCUAAACACGACCACAGAGGAACUCACGGUGGUAUCUGAAAACACUCUCCCCAACCAGAAAGUUCUAUGUAAGUUUUCAACUCCUCCUCGUACAGGGUACAUGUCAUAAGAGCUACGUACUUUUUUUCCCUUUUGUAAAUGAUUCUUAAAUGCAUAAGCAAUAAAACAUUUUUAAAACACAAUUUAAAGAGUACACUUGGCAGACUAGAACGCCUUAAAAAAGCCUAUUUACUUUCUCCCCUAAACGUUCAAAUUGUUAAAAGGAAAACUGUAUUUUAUCAACACUUUAACAUACCAUUAAAAUCUCUCCUAUUUGACAGAUGAAGAUAAAAACACCCCAAAACUACGGAUGAAUUAUCAGGUCCCUAAUGAUUCCAAAACAAUUACAGGAUGCAGAGCAAUCUAGUUAAAUUUUAUUCAAAAGCUUACUACACUUGUGUUUUCUUUUAUUUUUCUAUCAAGAAACCCAUGAGGCUUAAGCACAAUUCAUUAUGUAUGAGACCCCACUUGCGGUGCUUGACUGUUGAUUAAUAGCAAAGUUUGCUGUAUGUACAUUUGCAACAUUAGAUGCAUACAAUAUGCUAACUUAUUCUUUCACUGAAACUAAUUAUUUACAAAAAUGACUACUUGAGACUACAAUUUAUUAAAUGCAUGCAUCCAGUCUCAAUUUGGCCCCAAAAGACAGCCUGGAAUGAAGAUCUUUUACUUGAUGUGACAACUUCUGGAAACGCUGUUAUUAAUAUUGUAAAUGUGGCAAAUAAAGAGUUCAAAUAGC
Molecule: long non-coding RNA, 1341 nt
Organism: Neofelis nebulosa (Clouded leopard)
Lineage: Eukaryota; Metazoa; Chordata; Mammalia; Carnivora; Felidae
Exons: 2
Source: RefSeq, a predicted model, not a curated record